CUACGGGUGGCAGCAGUGGGGAAUAUUGGACAAUGGGGGAAACCCUGAUCCAGCAAUGCCGCGUGUGUGAAGAAGGCCUGCGGGUUGUAAAGCACUUUCGGUUGGGAGGACUGCUUCUAGCACUAAUAUUGUUGGAAGUUGACGUUACCUUCAGAAGAAGCACCGGCUAACUCCGUGCCAGCAGCCGCGGUAAUACGGAGGGUGCAAGCGUUAAUCGGAAUUACUGGGCGUAAAGCGCGCGUAGGCGGCUAGAUCAGUCGGGUGUGAAAGCCCCGGGCUUAACCUGGGAACUGCAUCCGAUACUGUCUAGCUUGAGUACAGGAGAGGAGAGUGGAAUUCCACAUGUAGCGGUGAAAUGCGUAGAUAUGUGGAGGAACACCAAUGGCGAAGGCGAUCUCCUGGAACAUUACUGACGCUAAGGUGUGAAAGCGUGGGGAGCAAACAGGAUUAGAUACCCGCGUAGUC
This 465-nucleotide ribosomal RNA is filed under the name uncultured bacterium. RNAcentral describes it as "partial 16S ribosomal RNA". It matches the Rfam family "Bacterial small subunit ribosomal RNA", at positions 339 to 795 of the family's 1533-position model. The record is from RNAcentral.